RNAcentral lists this ribosomal RNA (1417 nucleotides) under Trichoderma harzianum. Its description in RNAcentral is "eukaryotic LSU rRNA". The stretch from base 730 to 883 matches the Rfam family "5.8S ribosomal RNA". Lineage: Eukaryota; Fungi; Ascomycota; Sordariomycetes; Hypocreales; Hypocreaceae. The record is from RNAcentral.
CCCAUAUUCUCUCCGGAAAUAGCGUUAAUGAGGGGUUCCACGUGCAGUACACUCGAAGUGGGUAAGGCGUGGCGCGCCGCCCGGUGCAGUGCCAAUCCUGGCGGAGGGUGGGCAAACGCAUGUAUUUGAGAGGCCCACCCGCUUAGGAGGCGAUUCCAACGCCGACCCCGAGAGGUUCCGAUAAAUGAGGCUGACGCAUGCGCAGAUACGCGCCACUUGCUUCAAGUGUGAUCCAUGAUUUGCAACUCACAUUACUAUCGCAUCGUGCUUUUUUAUCAGCAGACCAAGUCGUUGUUGAAGUUUGAUUCAUCUCAAAGCUACAGGCGCCAGAAGCUCAGCUUAUAACAAAACCCGCGAGGGUAUACAAAAAGAGUUUUAGGUUGUCUCGGCGGGCGCCUUGGUCGGGGUGCGACGCACCCGGGGCAGAGAUCCGCCGAGGCAACAGUUUGGUAACGUUCACCAUUGGGUUUGGGAGUGUAAACUCGGUAAUGACCCUUUGGAGGGGGGGACCUGCGGAGGGAUCAGUUGCCGCGUUUAUAACUCCCAAACCCAAUGUGAACGUUACCAAACUGUUGCCUCGGCGGGAUCUCUGCCCCGGGUGCGUCGCAGCCCCGGACCAAGGCGCCCGCCGGAGGACCAACCUAAAACUCUUUUUGUAUACCCCCUCGCGGGUUUUUUAUAAUCUGAGCCUUCUCGGCGCCUCUCGUAGGCGUUUCGAAAAUGAAUCAAAACUUUCAACAACGGAUCUCUUGGUUCUGGCAUCGAUGAAGAACGCAGCGAAAUGCGAUAAGUAAUGUGAAUUGCAGAAUUCAGUGAAUCAUCGAAUCUUUGAACGCACAUUGCGCCCGCCAGUAUUCUGGCGGGCAUGCCUGUCCGAGCGUCAUUUCAACCCUCGAACCCCUCCGGGGGGUCGGCGUUGGGGAUCGGCCCUCCCUUAGCGGGUGGCCGUCUCCGAAAUACAGUGGCGGUCUCGCCGCAGCCUCUCCUGCGCAGUAGUUUGCACACUCGCAUCGGGAGCGCGGCGCGUCCACAGCCGUUAAACACCCAACUUCUGAAAUGUUGACCUCGGAUCAGGUAGCUGCGAAUCAUGCCCGACUGAACUUAAGCAUAUCAAAAUCGCGGAAGAAAAUGAUUACGGAGUUUUCCAACUCCCAAACCCAAUGUGAACGUUACCAAACUGUUGCCUCGGCGGGAUCUCUGCCCCGGGUGCGUCGCACCCCGACCAAGGGCCCGCCGGAAGACCAACCUAAAACUCUUUUUGUAUACCCCUUCGCGGGGUUUUUUAUAAGCUGAGCCUUCUCGCGCCCUGUAGCUUUCAAAUGAAAUCAAAACUUUCAACAACGGAGCUGUGGGUUCUGCGUCGAUAAAAAAGCACGAAUGCGAUGAGUAAUGGUGAAUUGCGAAAUCAUGGAAAUCA